GGGUUGUGAGGUUAAGUGACCAAGCGUACACGGUGGAUGCCCUGGCAGUCAGAGGCGAUGAAGGACGUGCUAAUCUGCGAAAAGCGCCGGUAAGGUGAUAUGAACCGUUAUAACCGGCGAUGUCCGAAUGGGGAAACCCAGUGUGACUCGUCACACUAUCAUUAACUGAAUCCAUAGGUUAAUGAGGCGAACCGGGGGAACUGAAACAUCUAAGUACCCCGAGGAAAAGAAAUCAACCGAGAUUCCCCCAGUAGCGGCGAGCGAACGGGGAGGAGCCCAGAGCCUGAAUCAGCAUGUGUGUUAGUGGAAGCGUCUGGAAAGGCGCGCGAUACAGGGUGACAGCCCCGUACACAAAAGCGCACAUGCUGUGAGCUCGAUGAGUAGGGCGGGACACGUGGUAUCCUGUCUGAAUAUGGGGGGACCAUCCUCCAAGGCUAAAUACUCCUGACUGACCGAUAGUGAACCAGUACCGUGAGGGAAAGGCGAAAAGAACCCCGGCGAGGGGAGUGAAACAGAACCUGAAACCGUGUACGUACAAGCAGUGGGAGCCUCUCUUUAUGGGGGGUGACUGCGUACCUUUUGUAUAAUGGGUCAGCGACUUAUAUUCUGUAGCAAGGUUAACCGCAUAGGGGAGCCGAAGGGAAACCGAGUCUUAAUUGGGCGUUAAGUUGCAGGGUAUAGACCCGAAACCCGGUGAUCUAGCCAUGGGCAGGUUGAAGGUUGGGUAACACUAACUGGAGGACCGAACUGACUAAUGUUGAAAAAUUAGCGGAUGACCUGUGGCUGGGGGUGAAAGGCCAAUCAAACCGGGAGAUAGCUGGUUCUCCCCGAAAGCUAUUUAGGUAGCGCCUCGUGAACUCAUCUCCGGGGGUAGAGCACUGUUUCGGCUAGGGGGCCAUCCCGGCUUACCAACCCGAUGCAAACUGCGAAUACCGGAGAAUGUUAUCACGGGAGACACACGGCGGGUGCUAACGUCCGUCGUGAAGAGGGAAACAACCCAGACCGCCAGCUAAGGUCCCAAAGUCAUGGUUAAGUGGGAAACGAUGUGGGAAGGCCCAGACAGCCAGGAUGUUGGCUUAGAAGCAGCCAUCAUUUAAAGAAAGCGUAAUAGCUCACUGGUCGAGUCGGCCUGCGCGGAAGAUGUAACGGGGCUAAACCAUGCACCGAAGCUGCGGCAGCGACACUUUAGUGUUGUUGGGUAGGGGAGCGUUCUGUAAGCCGUCGAAGGUGUGUCGUGAGGCAUGCUGGAGGUAUCAGAAGUGCGAAUGCUGACAUAAGUAACGAUAAAGCGGGUGAAAAGCCCGCUCGCCGGAAGACCAAGGGUUCCUGUCCAACGUUAAUCGGGGCAGGGUGAGUCGACCCCUAAGGCGAGGCCGAAAGGCGUAGUCGAUGGGAAACGGGUUAAUAUUCCCGUACUUGGUGUUACUGCGAAGGGGGGACGGAGAAGGCUAUGUUGGCCGGGCGACGGUAGUCCCGGUUUAAGCGUGUAGGUGUGUGUUCCAGGUAAAUCCGGUUCACUUUAACACUGAGGCGUGAUGACGAGGCACCACGGUGCUGAAGCAACAAAUGCCCUGCUUCCAGGAAAAGCCUCUAAGCAUCAGGUAACAUCAAAUCGUACCCCAAACCGACACAGGUGGUCAGGUAGAGAAUACCAAGGCGCUUGAGAGAACUCGGGUGAAGGAACUAGGCAAAAUGGUGCCGUAACUUCGGGAGAAGGCACGCUGACACGUAGGUGAAGUGAUUUACUCAUGGAGCUGAAGUCAGUCGAAGAUACCAGCUGGCUGCAACUGUUUAUUAAAAACACAGCACUGUGCAAACACGAAAGUGGACGUAUACGGUGUGACGCCUGCCCGGUGCCGGAAGGUUAAUUGAUGGGGUCAGCGCAAGCGAAGCUCCUGAUCGAAGCCCCGGUAAACGGCGGCCGUAACUAUAACGGUCCUAAGGUAGCGAAAUUCCUUGUCGGGUAAGUUCCGACCUGCACGAAUGGCGUAAUGAUGGCCAGGCUGUCUCCACCCGAGACUCAGUGAAAUUGAACUCGCUGUGAAGAUGCAGUGUACCCGCGGCAAGACGGAAAGACCCCGUGAACCUUUACUAUAGCUUGACACUGAACAUUGAGCCUUGAUGUGUAGGAUAGGUGGGAGGCUUUGAAGCGUGGACGCCAGUCUGCGUGGAGCCGACCUUGAAAUACCACCCUUUAAUGUUUGAUGUUCUAACGUGGACCCGUAAUCCGGGUUGCGGACAGUGUCUGGUGGGUAGUUUGACUGGGGCGGUCUCCUCCUAAAGAGUAACGGAGGAGCACGAAGGUUGGCUAAUCCUGGUCGGACAUCAGGAGGUUAGUGCAAUGGCAUAAGCCAGCUUGACUGCGAGCGUGACGGCGCGAGCAGGUGCGAAAGCAGGUCAUAGUGAUCCGGUGGUUCUGAAUGGAAGGGCCAUCGCUCAACGGAUAAAAGGUACUCCGGGGAUAACAGGCUGAUACCGCCCAAGAGUUCAUAUCGACGGCGGUGUUUGGCACCUCGAUGUCGGCUCAUCACAUCCUGGGGCUGAAGUAGGUCCCAAGGGUAUGGCUGUUCGCCAUUUAAAGUGGUACGCGAGCUGGGUUUAGAACGUCGUGAGACAGUUCGGUCCCUAUCUGCCGUGGGCGCUGGAAGAUUGAGGGGGGCUGCUCCUAGUACGAGAGGACCGGAGUGGACGCAUCACUGGUGUUCGGGUUGUCAUGCCAAUGGCACUGCCCGGUAGCUAAAUGCGGAAAAGAUAAGUGCUGAAAGCAUCUAAGCACGAAACUUGCCCCGAGAUGAGUCUUCCCUGAGACUUUGAGUCUCCUGAAGGAACGUUAAAGACGAUGACGUUGAUAGGCCGGGUGUGUAAGCGCAGCGAUGCGUUGAGCUAACCGGUACUAAUGAACCGUGAGGCUUAACCUUACAACGCCGAAGCUGUU
RNAcentral lists this ribosomal RNA (2935 nucleotides) under Salmonella enterica subsp. diarizonae serovar 50:k:z str. MZ0080. RNAcentral's name for it is "bacterial LSU rRNA". It matches the Rfam family "Bacterial large subunit ribosomal RNA". The record is from RNAcentral. Lineage: Bacteria; Pseudomonadati; Pseudomonadota; Gammaproteobacteria; Enterobacterales; Enterobacteriaceae.